AAUAUUUUACCCACAUUCGCCAUUUUCCUGUUUGUUUAAAGCCGUGUGGAAUUGAUUUCUUCCAACAAAAUUCAUCAAAUAGAUAGAGAGAAAUAUUUCAAAACCUAUAAAUUUUUAAAUUUAUAGAAUUUAAGCUUUUAAUUAAAAAUUCGCAAUGACUGGACGAGGAAGAGGAUUUAGAGGAGGAAGGUAAAUCGAUGGAACUAUAAAAUCAUACGUUCUUAUAUGCAAUAUUUCAGAGACGAAUUCCGAGACACGAGAUACCAAAAGCCUUCUUAUGGUAGGGGUGAGAAUGGACCUAGAGGACGUGGCAAUUUUAGAGGUCGUGCACCUCGACGUAGCCCAAUGGAUCACAAGAAUGUUAGAAGUUCUAGCCCUCCCAGAUUCGAACGUCGAAUGCCACCAGUUGAUCGUGACCGAAUGCCACUUGGGCGAUAUGCAUCUUCACCUCCAAGAUCACCUCCACCCCAACAGAAGUUACACAGCAUAGUUAUGCCCUCCAGUAGAUAUGGUGGACCACCGUCCCCUAAUGGCGAUUAUAGACGAAGAUUAUCUUCUCCGCCUAAAUAUUCGAAAAGUUACGAUAACUUUGACAGACACUUCCCUGGACCACCACGAAAUAACUCUAGAGAUUAUUAUAUCGAAAGAGAUCGUAUGUCUCCACCUCCGGCACCAAGAAGUGGAGAUUAUGAUAGAUUUGACCGUCAAAUGAGGGAUCCACACAGGGAUAUGGGAUAUUCACGAAGUAGGCAGAUGGGAGACUCUAUGGGUAGAUCACGAGGACCAAGAGUAGACAUGUCUUCAUCCAGAGGUCGCUCACCAUAUGAUAGACGUGAAACUGUCAAGAGACACAGAAUGGAUAUGGGAGGUCCUUUACCAAAACGCUUCAGAGAUGAUCCACCGAAUUUUAGAGAUGCUCCACCACCACCAAGGAGAGAUAGAGGACCUCCCCCUCCACCUAGAGGACCACGGGACUUCUCAUCACCUCCGAGGGGAGGCUAUCGCGAUAUGUCGCGAGGGGGUCGAGGUCAGAGAGGAAGAGGUUUCAGAGGUCCCCGUGGAAUGAAGCAUUAGACUCAAGAUGUUUUGUUCUUCAGCCUUUGCUGAGUUUUCUUUGUAAAUUUUCGUAAAAAACGUUUAGAGUAUUUUAUAAAUACAAAAUAGCUGUUGAUGGAUCCACCUUCUAUUUGGGAUUUUGAAUUUAACAAUUAAUGAUCGCCCUGGAAAUUUUAAGCAGUAAGUUGAUGACUCGGCUAGAAAUGCUUCCUAACAUUCACAGCACGAAACAACUUUUUCUCAACGUUCAGGAUGGUAAGGAUAUAGUUUAACUUCCUUUAAAUGAUUUAAUUUUGAAGAGGCAAAUGGUUUGAAAUGGAAAUAAUAUAAAAAUGCAUUACGUAAGUAUCUUAGAUUAAGCCGACAAGUGGUUGAUAAACCAUUGAAUUCAUUCGUUUCUGCAUAAUCUCCUGAAAAUGAGAAGAAAGCUGAACAUCGAUCCGGUAAAAAAUUUUUUUGUUUUGAACCAAAGAUCACCAUCUAGAAAUGUAUCAAUUAUAUUUCUCAUACAUUCUGGAUAAAAUGAAUGAAAUAUUUUAAACAUUUUAUUCAUUUCAUUCUACACAACACUACGAUGAACUUGUGAUCUAUUGAACAUUUUUCAGUACGUAACGACAUAAAAAACAUCGAGUUUCAAAGAGGCUUACGCAUUAAUUAUUUAAUUCGAAUUACUUUAAUUAAGCUAAGCACCCUUUAGUCUUCUUGGAAACUCAUUGAUAAAAUCAAAGGCUUUCAGUCACAGCAUUAAUAACUUUAAACGAAAGAAAAUUACUAUAAAAUCUCGAUACCAGCAACGAAAUAAUUUAUUGGUGAUCCGAACAAUGGAGAGUGGUCGAAAAACGGUAACUAUUCAGUCCUUAUCAGACGAAAACUGCUCUAGAAGGUAUAUCUGGUUUAAAAAAAUGUAUACUUAUUAAAUGAUAUUUGAUUGUUUUGGUUUGUAAAUAGUAAAAAAGCGAAUUUCUUAAAAUCACCUAAAAUGUUAUUUCGAAAACAAUCAUUUCUAAUUUUUCGACGAGCCUGUUUAAUCAUCUAUAUUACGGAUCAAAUAGUCUCUAAUUUCCAUUCUAUCUUCAAAAUUGGAAUACUCACUGAAUUUUAAAAUAGAGCGAAAUUUACAUAUUUCAACAAAGGUUCAAACCGAAGGAUAUUCAACUUUUUUUGUAUAUUAUACCAUAAUUUUUUUGAUUUUACUGUUUAGCCAACUUUUUUUUACCUACAACUAUUCUUCAAUGUAUAAUUCGCACUUAUACAUAUAUUUCUUCAUCGAACAUCAACAAACGAUCUUAAGACUACCACUCAACAGAAGAAAGUUAAGAUUAAAAUUAUCUUAAUCUUUCUAUUAAGCGUCGAAAAUUUUUGUGGAAGUUUGAAACCUAUUUAUAAACUAGGAAAGAAAUGAGAUCACAUCAAACGUCUUCUCCAUCCGAGAUCUUAAUAUGAUGCUAUCCGAAUUAGGGAGAUAAAAAAACAAUCUUUUGCUUCACUUUAACCUCUAAAAAUCUCUGAAGAGGAAAAAUUUUCAUUUAUUUUCGGAUAUAUAAUACUUUGUAUUUGAAGCUCAGCGUUUUAACAAUAUUGGCGUAACCGUAAGUCAUGUAACGAGAUAUGUCAAACCCUUUUAUGAGUUCUUAAGUAUAUUAGAGUGUUUUGAAAUACAAUAUAUGCUUUUGUUUUGCAGUUUGUGCUGGCUAGAAGAUAUUC
RNAcentral lists this unclassified non-coding RNA (2760 nucleotides) under Dimorphilus gyrociliatus. Its description in RNAcentral is "dgyrCDS2210". Lineage: Eukaryota; Metazoa; Annelida; Polychaeta; Dinophilidae. The record is from RNAcentral.